GAUGAACGCUGGCGGCGUGCCUAAUACAUGCAAGUCGAGCGAACGGACGAGAAGCUUGCUUCUCUGAUGUUAGCGGCGGACGGGUGAGUAACACGUGGCUAACCUACCUAUAAGACUGGGAUAACUUCGGGAAACCGGAUCUAAUACCGGAUAAUAUUUUGAACCGCAUGGUUCAAAAGUGAAAGACGGUCUUGCUGUCACUUAUAGAUGGAUCCUCGCUGCAUUAGCUAGUUGGUAAGGUAACGGCUUACCAAGGCAACGAUGCAUAGCCGACCUGAGAGGGUGAUCGGCCACACUGGAACUGAGACACGGUCCAGACUCCUACGGGAGGCAGCAGUAGGGAAUAUUCCGCAAUGGGCGAAAGCCUGACGGAGCAACGCCGCGUGAGUGAUGAAGGUCUUCGGAUCGUAAAACUCUGUUAUUAGGGAAGAACAGAUGUGUAAGUAACUGUGCACAUCUUGACGGUACCUAAUCAGAAAGCCACGGCUAACUACGUG
RNAcentral lists this ribosomal RNA (497 nucleotides) under uncultured bacterium. RNAcentral's name for it is "partial 16S ribosomal RNA". It matches the Rfam family "Bacterial small subunit ribosomal RNA", at positions 28 to 507 of the family's 1533-position model. The record is from RNAcentral.